GGAGGAAAAGAAACCAACCGGGAUUGCCCCAGUAACGGCGAGUGAAGCGGCAACAGCUCAAAUUUGAAAUCCGGCCCCGGGACGGGGUCUGAGUUGUAAUUUGCAGAGGGCGUUUCGGGGGCGGCGCCGGCCUAAGUUCCUUGGAACAGGACGUCAUAGAGGGUGAGAAUCCCGUCUGCGCGCCGAUGGCCCAACCCCGGGUGAACGCUUUUCGACGAGUCGAGUUGUUUGGGAAUGCAGCUCCAAACGGGUGGUAAAUUCCAUCUAAAGCUAAAUACCGGCCAGAGACCGAUAGCGCACAAGUAGAGUGAUCGAAAGAUGAAAAGCACUUUGGAAAGAGAGUCAAACAGUACGUGAAAUUGUUGAAAGGGAAGCGCUGGCGACCAGACCUGUCGUCGGGCGAUCAUCCGCCAUCUCUGGCGGUGCUCCUCGCCCGGCCCGCAGGCCAGCAUCGGUUCGGGCGGCGGGACAAAGCGCCCGGGAACGUAGCUUCCCCCGGGGAGCCUUACAGCCCGGGCGGCCAUGCCGCCCGCCCGGACCGAGGACCGCGCUCCGGCUAGGAUGCUGGCGUAAUGGUCGUCAGCGACCCGUCUUGAAACACGGACCAAGGAGUCUACCAUCCGUGCGAGUGUUUGGGCGGCAAAACCCGGACGCGCAAUGAAAGUGAACGGAGGUGAGACCCCCUCCGCCGCGGGGGGCGCAUCAUCGACCGAUCCAGAUGUUUUCGGAUGGAUUUGAGUACGAGCACGGCCGGUGGGACCCGAAAGAUGAUGAACUAUGCCUGAAUAGGGUGAAGCCAGAGGAAACUCUGGUGGAGGCUCGCAGCGGUUCUGACGUGCAAAUCGAUCGUCGAAUUUGGGUAUAGGGGCGAAAGACCAAUCGAAUCAU
This 888-nucleotide ribosomal RNA is filed under the name Physma byrsaeum. RNAcentral's name for it is "LSU rRNA". It matches the Rfam family "Eukaryotic large subunit ribosomal RNA", at positions 52 to 943 of the family's 3401-position model. The record is from RNAcentral. Lineage: Eukaryota; Fungi; Ascomycota; Lecanoromycetes; Peltigerales; Collemataceae.